GUAAUGCUUAGGAAUCUGCCUAUUAGUGGGGGACAACAUCUCGAAAGGGAUGCUAAUACCGCAUACGUCCUACGGGAGAAAGCAGGGGACCUUCGGGCCUUGCGCUAAUAGAUGAGCCUAAGUCGGAUUAGCUAGUUGGUGGGGUAAAGGCCUACCAAGGCGACGAUCUGUAGCGGGUCUGAGAGGAUGAUCCGCCACACUGGGACUGAGACACGGCCCAGACUCCUACGGGAGGCAGCAGUGGGGAAUAUUGGACAAUGGGGGGAACCCUGAUCCAGCCAUGCCGCGUGUGUGAAGAAGGCCUUUUGGUUGUAAAGCACUUUAAGCGAGGAGGAGGCUACCGAGAUUAAUACUUUUGGAUAGUGGACGUUACUCGCAGAAUAAGCACCGGCUAACUCUGUGCCAGCAGCCGCGGUAAUACAGAGGGUGCAAGCGUUAAUCGGAUUUACUGGGCGUAAAGCGCGCGUAGGUGGCCAAUUAAGUCAAAUGUGAAAUCCCCGAGCUUAACUUGGGAAUUGCAUUCGAUACUGGUUGGCUAGAGUAUGGGAGAGGAUGGUAGAAUUCCAGGUGUAGCGGUGAAAUGCGUAGAGAUCUGGAGGAAUACCGAUGGCGAAGGCAGCCAUCUGGCCUAAUACUGACACUGAGGUG
This 648-nucleotide ribosomal RNA is filed under the name uncultured bacterium. Its description in RNAcentral is "bacterial SSU rRNA". It matches the Rfam family "Bacterial small subunit ribosomal RNA", at positions 110 to 753 of the family's 1533-position model. The record is from RNAcentral.